This 468-nucleotide ribosomal RNA is filed under the name uncultured bacterium. Its description in RNAcentral is "partial 16S ribosomal RNA". It matches the Rfam family "Bacterial small subunit ribosomal RNA", at positions 28 to 507 of the family's 1533-position model. The record is from RNAcentral.
GACGAACGCUGGCGGCGUGCUUAACACAUGCAAGUCGAACGGAAAGGCCCUGCUUUUGUGGGGUUCUCGAGUGGCGAACGGGUGAGUAACACGUGAGUAACCUGCCCUUGACUUUGGGAUAACUUCAGGAAACUUGGGCUAAUACCGGAUAGGAGCUCCUGCUGCAUGGUGGGGGUUGGAAAGUUUCGGCGGUUGGGGUUGGACUCGCGGCUUAUCAGCUUGUUGGUGGGGUAGUGGCUUACCAAGGCUUUGACGGGUAGCCGGCCUGAGAGGGUGACCGGCGACAAUGGGACUGAGAUACGGCCCAGACUGGAACGGGAGGCAGCAGGGGGGAAUAGUGCAAAAUGGGCGGAAGCGUGAUGCAGAAAAGCGGCGGGCGGGAUGACGGCCUUGGGGUUGUAAACAGAUUAAGCAUGUGACGAAGCGUGAGUGACGGUAAUGGGUAAAGAAGCACCGGCUAACUACGUG